Molecule: ribosomal RNA, 274 nt
Filed under: uncultured bacterium
Lineage: Bacteria
Description: partial 16S ribosomal RNA
Rfam family: Bacterial small subunit ribosomal RNA
Source: RNAcentral
AUACGGAGGGUGCAAGCGUUACUGGGAAUCACUGGGCGUAAAGCGCGCGCAGGCGGCUAUUUAAGUUGGAUGUGAAAGCCUACGGCUCAACCGUAGAACUGCAUCCAAAACUAUUUAGCUAGAGUGUGGGAGAGGAAGAUGGAAUUAGUUGUGUAGGGGUAAAAUCCGUAGAGAUAACUAGGAAUACCAAAAGCGAAGGCAAUCUUCUGGAACAGUACUGACGCUGAGGCGCGAAAGCGUGGGGAGCAAACAGGAUUAGAUACCCGAGUAGUCC